AACAGCCAGGAGCAGUGACCAAGCCGCCGGAGCUGGGGAGAGACGCACCGGGGCGGCGACUGGGCCAGGAGACCAGGGACUGAGGGACGCGCCCGGGGAGGGCCAGCAACAAGCCGCGGCCCGGGCGCGACAGCGGCGGUCCGCGCCGAGCCGUUCCAGCCGCCGGCCUACUGUAGCCGCUGCGCCAGGACAUUUUUUUUUAAAGCUCUCCAAGCUGCCCCCCUCCUCCCCGACUCCUCCCGCUGCAAAAGAAAAACAAAAAAAAAAAAGGAAGGAGGCUAGAAAGGAAACCCAGAUUUGCCACCACAACGAAAAAAAGAAGGGGAAAAGGAAAAGGAGAGAAAGUCGAGCGACUGUGGGGUUAGACGGAGGCAGACAGAGCGUGGGCCGAGCGAUGCGGGGCUGUGCGCCCAGGCGGCCGCGAGUUGUGACUGGAGCCACGAUGCACGGCCAGGCGCGCUCUACCUCAAGCCCCGGAGAACUCAGCGGCGCUUUCCUCGCAACCCGAGCUCGGCGAGUCGUCGUCUUCUUCUUCUCCGUUUUUAUUUAUUUAUUUCCGUUCCCGCC
Molecule: unclassified non-coding RNA, 567 nt
Filed under: Homo sapiens (human)
Lineage: Eukaryota; Metazoa; Chordata; Mammalia; Primates; Hominidae
Description: LIM homeobox 1 (ENSG00000274577.2)
Source: RNAcentral